GCUCCGGUUGCCUAGUGGUUAGAGCGUCCGCUUUGGAUGCGGUUGGCUUGGGUUCAAACCCCGGUCGAGUCA
Potamilus streckersoni is the source of this 72-nucleotide non-coding RNA. Lineage: Eukaryota; Metazoa; Mollusca; Bivalvia; Unionida; Unionidae. The record is from the annotation of a GenBank genome assembly.